RNAcentral lists this ribosomal RNA (483 nucleotides) under uncultured bacterium. RNAcentral's name for it is "partial 16S ribosomal RNA". It matches the Rfam family "Bacterial small subunit ribosomal RNA", at positions 28 to 507 of the family's 1533-position model. The record is from RNAcentral.
AUUGAACGCUGGCGGCAUGCUUUACACAUGCAAGUCGAACGGCAGCGCGGGCUUCGGCCUGGCGGCGAGUGGCGAACGGGUGAGUAAUGCAUCGGAACGUGCCCAGUAGUGGGGGAUAGCCCGGCGAAAGCCGAUUAAUACCGCAUACGACCUGAGGGUGAAAGCGGGGGACCGAAAGGCCUCGCGCUAUUGGAGCGGCCGAUGUCGGAUUAGCUAGUUGGUGGGGUAAAGGCUUACCAAGGCGACGAUCCGUAGCUGGUCUGAGAGGACGACCAGCCACACUGGGACUGAGACACGGCCCAGACUCCUACGGGAGGCAGCAGUGGGGAAUUUUGGACAAUGGGGGCAACCCUGAUCCAGCCAUGCCGCGUGCGGGAAGAAGGCCUUCGGGUUGUAAACCGCUUUUGUUCGGGAAGAAAUCCUCUGGGCUAAUACCCCGGGGGGAUGACGGUACCGGAAGAAUAAGCACCGGCUAACUACGUG